CAUCCUGUAUAUAGCUCUAGAUU
RNAcentral lists this small nuclear RNA (23 nucleotides) under Arabidopsis thaliana (thale cress). Its description in RNAcentral is "snRNA_01039". The record is from RNAcentral. Lineage: Eukaryota; Viridiplantae; Streptophyta; Magnoliopsida; Brassicales; Brassicaceae.